GCGUGCUAUACAUGCAGUCGAGCGGACAGAUGGGAGCUUGCUCCCUGAUGUUAGCGGCGGACGGGUGAGUAACACGUGGGUAACCUGCCUGUAAGACUGGGAUAACUCCGGGAAACCGGGGCUAAUACCGGAUGGUUGUUUGAACCGCAUGGUUCAGACAUAAAAGGUGGCUUCGGCUACCACUUACAGAUGGACCCGCGGCGCAUUAGCUAGUUGGUGAGGUAACGGCUCACCAAGGCGACGAUGCGUAGCCGACCUGAGAGGGUGAUCGGCCACACUGGGACUGAGACACGGCCCAGACUCCUACGGGAGGCAGCAGUAGGGAAUCUUCCGCAAUGGACGAAAGUCUGACGGAGCAACGCCGCGUGAGUGAUGAAGGUUUUCGGAUCGUAAAGCUCUGUUGUUAGGGAAGAACAAGUGCCGUUCAAAUAGGGCUAGAGCACCUAGUGGACGGUACCUAACGCAGAAUAAGCCACCGGCUAACUACUGUGCCAGCAGCCGCGGUAAUACAGUAGGGUGGCAAGCGUUAGUCCGGAAUUAUUGGGCGUAAAGGGCUGCGCAGGCGGUUUCUUAAGUCUGAUGUGAAAGCCCCCGAGCUCAACCGGGGAAGUGUCAUUGGAAACUGGGGAACUUGAGUAUGCAGAAGAGGAUGAGUGGAAUUCCACGUGUAGCGGUGAAAUGCGUAGAGAUGUGGAGGAACACCGAGUGGCGAAGGCGAGCUCAUCUGGUCUAGUAACUGACGCUGAGGUAGCGAAAGCGUGGGGAGCGAACAGGAUUAGAUACCCUGGUAGUCCACGCCGUAAACGAUGAGUGCUACUAGCUGUUUAGGGGGUUUCCGACCCUUUAGUGGCUGCAGCUAACGCGAUUAAGCACUCCGCCUGGGGAGUACGGUCGCAAGACUGAAACUCAAAGGAAUUGACGGGGGCCCGCACAAGCGGUGGAGCAUGUGGUUUAAUUCGAAGCAACGCGAAGAACCUUACCAGGUCUUGACAUCCUCUGACAACUUUCCUAGAGAUAGGACUGGUCCCCUUCGGGAGUCUAGAGUGACAGGUGGUGCAUGGUUGUCGUCAGCUCGUGUCGUGAGAUGUUGGGUUAAGUCCCGCAACGAGCGCAACCCUUGAUCCUUAGUUGCCAGCAUUUCAGUUGGGCACUCUAAGGAUGACUGCCGGUGACAAACCGGAGGAAGGCGGGGACGACGUCAAAUCAUCAUGCCCCUUACGACCAGGGCUACACACGUGCUACAAUGGACAGAACAAAGGGCAGCGAAACAGCGAGGUGAAGCCAAUCCCAAAAAGCCGAUCGUCAGUCCGGAUCGCAGUCUGCAACUCGACUCCAUGAAGCCGGAAUCGCUAGUAAUCGCGGAUCAGAAUGCCGCGGUGAAUACGUUCCCGGGCCUUGUACACACCGCCCGUCACACCACGAGAGUUUGUAACACCAGAAGUAGCUGAGCCUAACCUGCAAAGAGCGCAGCCGCCGAAGGUGAA
Molecule: ribosomal RNA, 1484 nt
Filed under: Bacillus sp. (in: firmicutes)
Lineage: Bacteria; Bacillati; Bacillota; Bacilli; Caryophanales; Bacillaceae
Description: bacterial SSU rRNA
Rfam family: Bacterial small subunit ribosomal RNA
Source: RNAcentral